Molecule: long non-coding RNA, 3882 nt
Organism: Thunnus maccoyii (southern bluefin tuna)
Lineage: Eukaryota; Metazoa; Chordata; Actinopteri; Scombriformes; Scombridae
Exons: 8
Source: RefSeq, a predicted model, not a curated record
CCGAUUUUAAUGCAGUAACUAUCAAGUUAAUUGUUAACACUAAGUGACUCCAAUACAGUGUGUUUCAUGUGUGUAAACUUUGGAUACGUACAUAUAUUUGUUAUAUCACUUUUAUGUUGUUAUUUCACGCCACUAGAGGCAUGUAACGUGCAAAAUGACAGGAAGUCACACUGGCGAGGCACACAUCAGUCUCGGCAGGUAAUCUUGGCACUAUCCACUCCCCAUACAACGAUAACUAACCGUUAACGCUCGCACAACCAAGUCGACCGGGCCGGUAGCUGUUGACAAUGCCCAGCCAGCUCUUUCAGAUAAUUAAAUCGAAAAACCACCAGUCAAAGGCCAAGCCAAGCUAGCCCGCCAUGCCCAAGCCGUCGCUAAUGACACCUUGAUGGUUUCAGCUGGUAGCCGCAGACGCAGCACCGGAGCCCAACGACGCAACAACAGCGACUCCCGCUCAGACCUAGUAACGAGGAGCUAACGCUAACGCUAGAGGUAGCAGGAGUUAAAAUUUAACAUCAGAAUUUAUUAAACGAACUACAAGCAACCUGAUAACAUGAACUCAUAAAACAAAAACAUGUCAGUCAGCGUUUCCAAAUGUUGAAACGAAGGAUUACAACACUUUUAUCAACUGUCCCUGAAGUGCACUGAAAGAGACUACGCAAAAUGGAGUUCACCUAUGAAGGACUUCUGGUACAGAAGAAACAAAUUCUUCAGAAGGUGAGCUUCUGCCUUCAGACCAGAGGAAUAUUAUCCCCCACAAAGACAUGUGGAAGUGGUUCAAGGUCUGCAGCAAGCAGCAGUGAGAGGUCUGUCUUCUGGGAGAUGGUGUUUGCCUGCCUGAAGAGCCCUUCCAGAUGGUGAAGCUGUGAGUGUACCUCAAUCACUACUCCUCCCAGAAGCACAAAGCUAGAAGAGGUAUCUGGCAUCCUCGGCAGCCAGGUCUCCGGAGACUGAUGUGUGGUGAGAGGCAGCGAGGACGUUCAGACUGAGAUGGCUUUCAUAAAAAAGACACAUUGACAUGAGCUGUGACGCAACUCCCCCCACCCCCCUGCUACCCACCACUCCCUGGCAAUUGAGUAACCAAGGUUGGAUGAUAUGAAACGAUCACCCAACCCUACACAGGACCUGUGUUUGACCUGUUUUCCAAAACUGAUGCGUGUUGAACCUUUUGCGCCAAACCUGAUGACCUGUGAUACUGACGUUUGCACAAGUUGUGGACACAAGACACAGGUGCUGGUCACUGCAAUCUAACAUGCAAAUUGUGGAAACCAAGAUGCUUCAGCACCUAUUGAGAUGGUACACACAUUUCAACAAGGGAAAAGUUAGAGUGGACUGUGGCAGCUCAGAAGGACACAGCACCAUUGAGUCUUUUUUGACUCAGGACAGAAAUGUGCAGCUGUACAGUUUGAGCAAUCAAAUAACAGAUCCUGCCCUGCACUAACCCUUUUCUCGCCAUCCCCAUCACCUGAUCUUCCUCCACCGUCCUGCACACCGGUUUCUACUUCCCCAAUCUGCCCAGUUGUAUUAUCCCAUUUAUUUUCUGCCUGAUCGUCUUUGGUGCCACAGCCAUUAGAGGUCCAACCAUUUUUUUCUGCCAUGCUGUUAGCCUGCCUUUUAUGACCCUUUGACUGCCUUUUUGGACUUGCUGCCUUGCCUGCUCCCUUUUUGAUUAGUCUGACUGUUGCCUGCUGGAUUUUUGACUUGUACAUGUUUAAAGGUUUGUAGUUGAAAUGGCUUUGGUGUGUCACUGAAAAGUAGUUCACUGAGCCUUUCUUCAACUUGCUUGAUGUCAUCUUCAAUAUCAACUAUCCACCAGUAUUGGAAACAGAGGGAGAAAACAUAAGCAGUCCAAACUGGCCAAGAGUAGGGCUGCACCUAAAGAUUAUUUUCAUUAUGGUUUAAUCUGUCGAUUGAUCAGAUUCAGACGACUUUAUUUAUCCCAGAAGGGAUUAGUUGCUACUUCCCUAAUAUAUCAGAAAAGGGUGAAAAAAGUCAAUCACAAAUAGAAGAAAGGAAAUCAGAAAAUAUUCACAAUUAAGAAUCUGAAACCAGAGGAUUUUGGCAUUAUUCUUAAAGAAUGACUCAAAAUGAUUUAAUUGUUUAUCAAGAUAGUUGGCGAUUAAUUUUCUGCUGAUCAACUAAUCAUUGCAGCUCUAGCCCAGAGUUUGACCAGUGUCCUAGAAAUGUCUCGCUAGUUAUGUUACAGUUUGUUCCCUUAUUAACCUUAUUAAAUUAUAUAUUUUUUAUAUUAUUGUCAACCAUUUUCCAAAAUAGUGAGUUGGUACCAAUAACAUUUACAGUCGGUUGUUUAAUUUUGCUUUUAAUACCACACUGACAUGAAUGGAAAGUAUUGGCUGCUUGUAAGGUAGAAAAUUGAAAAAGAAAGUCUUUAUUUAGAGUCUCAAACAUGCUGAAACUGUUCAUAUAGUUCAGGAAUGGAGAAAAUGAAGUUAAAUGCUCCUCAAUAAUUGUGAAUUCCAUUCCUUUGCAGAGGUGUUAUUCUGGUGACCAGUCAUUCUGAUUACAGCAUAACAGCACUGAUGUUGCCGCUCCCCUCUUCUCCAAACCCACUGUAUCCCCCCCUUGAGGGAAAGAAAAUAUUCAGAGAAAAGAUGAGAAGACAUGGAGCCCAGCAAGAAAUAGCCAAAUGAUAGUGACCCUGCAUGACAAGGGCAAUGUGCCCAGAGGCAAAAUAAACGAAGAGCGCUGCAUCUUCAUGGUGACGUUAUCCCAUAAAUAAUUAAACAGUCCAUUCUUAAGGAAUAAAAGGAGCGUGAAAAUGUAUCAGGGUUUGCACUGAGUCUCUCCCUCAGCCAACAGCUAUAUUCAUCACAGCUUCUAUAAUGUUCUUAAUAAGCAUCACCCAGCAUUUGUUUCAAAAUAAUCAAUGUGAAUAAUCAAUGAGAACGCUUUAAGGAAAAUUCCACUGUCAGAUAUGUUUGUCCUGUUACCAUCAAUCUGUGAUUUGAAUGCAUUCAAGAAGUUAUCUUGUGAUAAAAUGCAAAAUUUACUUUUUGAUUUACCUACAUUUCCUCAACCAUUCUCCUAACAUACUUAUUAAACAUGAUUCUUCAGUGAUUGAAAACUUUUCCGGAUGCAUUCCGACAACCCAGAAAGAGCAAAUAUAAGCAUGAAUUUGCUUAAGGUGAGUUGACUUAAAUAUAGUGUAAAAGCCAUGCAAGGGUACUAUGGAAAAAAAUAACAGUGGCACUGAACAUUCAAAAACAUUAUCAUCAAAGGUAAUUGUUAUUGUCAGUAUUCUAUUUGGCAAGUGGACCGCAGAUACAUUUUAAGAUUACUUAUAGCUUUAUAUCUCUGGCAAGUUGAUUUUCAUAUUGUACUGAAUUGUAAACCAAUUGCUGCCUGUAGCAGAAGAAAAACAAUCAACUUCUAGCAAACAAUAUUGACAAUGUUUGUUAGUACCAUAAUUUCAGGCUUACUUUUACAUGAAUUGUAGGGUGAAAAAUCACCAGUUAACAAUCAUGAAAAAAGAUGAAGCAAAAUUGAUUUUCACUAUGUUUUUGAAAUACACAGAGAACUCAACAUAAUCUUAAAAAACAACUAUUUGUGUGAAAUGUUUAAUUUGUGACUGACAUGAAACUAACCACAAGGCUGUGCAAUUGAAGUUUAGUAGAUACUUUUGAUUUCUACCUGAUGUUCUUCUACCUAGAUGAAUGAGAUGAAUCCACACAGAUAUGAGCUUCUCCAAAUACUGUCUCUGCAUUCAGGAAUCCCUAUCAAAGAAAUAUACAGCCUUCUAUCAAAAUGUUUUCUCAACCUGAUGCUUGACCAGUUUCUGAUUUUUUUUUCCUGUCUUUGGUCCAUCCCUAGUGGCCUGAUUAAAUUACAGCAAACAAAGCUUGUUGUGGAGAAAUCAUUAAA